Molecule: long non-coding RNA, 285 nt
Organism: Thunnus maccoyii (southern bluefin tuna)
Lineage: Eukaryota; Metazoa; Chordata; Actinopteri; Scombriformes; Scombridae
Exons: 3
Source: RefSeq, a predicted model, not a curated record
GGAACAACACGCAUUCGUGUUGUCACACUUCCAACAUGUCACUUCACACAAAGGAAUAGGCAGGGACAGGAUAGCCAGACAAAGUUCCAACCUGAACUGCUGCCAUGGUGACACCACUGCUCCAAUGGUCCUCCCGAGGAACAGGGCUGAAUGUAAAGCAGUAUAUACUCUGAGAUUCGCCCUGCUGAGCCCCCACUGCUGCUCUCUGUGCUGUAUAUUUGGGCAAAGGUGUGAUGGAUGUUUUAAAUGGAAGAAGAAAAGAGAUGAGGACAGAUGAGGAAGGGA